RNAcentral lists this ribosomal RNA (161 nucleotides) under uncultured bacterium. Its description in RNAcentral is "partial 16S ribosomal RNA". It matches the Rfam family "Bacterial small subunit ribosomal RNA", at positions 1339 to 1500 of the family's 1533-position model. The record is from RNAcentral.
UAAUGGCAGGUCAGCAUACUGCCGUGAAUACGUUCCCGGGCCUUGUACACACCGCCCGUCACACCAUGAGAGUUGGGAAUACCCGAAGCCUGUGAGCUAACUUUAAGAGGCAGCAGUCGAAGGUAGAAUCAAUGAUUGGGGUGAAGUCGUAACAAGGUAGC